RNAcentral lists this ribosomal RNA (250 nucleotides) under uncultured prokaryote. RNAcentral describes it as "partial 16S ribosomal RNA". It matches the Rfam family "Bacterial small subunit ribosomal RNA", at positions 524 to 774 of the family's 1533-position model. The record is from RNAcentral.
UACGGAAGGUCCGGGCGUUGUCCGGAAUCAUUGGGCGUAAAGGGGGCGCAGGCGGGGAUGCAAGUCUUUCCUGAAAGCGUGGGGCUCAGCCCCAUGAUGGGAAAGAAACUGUAUCUCUUGAGCGCGGGAGAGGGAAGCGGAAUUCCUGGUGUAGCGGUGAAAUGCGUAGAUAUCAGGAAGAACACCAGUGGCGAAGGCGGCUUCCUGGACCGCGGCUGACGCUGAGGCCGGAAAGCCAGGGGAGCGAACG